GUUUGCACUUGUCGGGGAAGGGUGAGAACCUUCGAUUAAGGUUCGACUCGAGCGAAAGCGAGAGAACGUUGCCAACGGCAACGGCCCGAAGGGUGAGGAGCGAAGCGACGAAUAAUCCUUC
This 121-nucleotide small RNA is filed under the name Citrobacter freundii. RNAcentral describes it as "partial RtT sRNA". It matches the Rfam family "RtT RNA". From Rfam's summary of the family: This family represents a bacterial cis-regulatory element known as RtT RNA. The record is from RNAcentral. Lineage: Bacteria; Pseudomonadati; Pseudomonadota; Gammaproteobacteria; Enterobacterales; Enterobacteriaceae.